This 460-nucleotide ribosomal RNA is filed under the name uncultured bacterium. RNAcentral's name for it is "partial 16S ribosomal RNA". It matches the Rfam family "Bacterial small subunit ribosomal RNA", at positions 338 to 795 of the family's 1533-position model. The record is from RNAcentral.
CCUACGGGAGACAGCAGUGAGGAAUAUUGGUCAAUGGACGAGAGUCUGAACCAGCCAAGUAGCGUGAAGGAUGACUGCCCUAUGGGUUGUAAACUUCUUUUAUAUGGGAAUAAAACGUUCCACGUGUGGGAUUUUGUAUGUACCAUAUGAAUAAGGAUCGGCUAACUCCGUGCCAGCAGCCGCGGUAAUACGGAGGAUCCGAGCGUUAUCCGGAUUUAUUGGGUUUAAAGGGAGCGUAGGUGGAUUGUUAAGUCAGUUGUGAAAGUUUGCGGCUCAACCGUGAAAUUGCAGUUGAAACUGGCAGUCUUGAGUACAGUAGAGGUGGGCGGAAUUCGUGGUGUAGCGGUGAAAUGCUUAGAUAUCACGAAGAACUCCGAUUGCGAAGGCAGUUCACUGGACUGCAACUGACACUGAGGCUCGAAAGUGUGGGUAUCAAACAGGAUUAGAUACCCGGGUAGUC